CCUACGGGGGGCAGCAGUGGGGAAUAUCGGACAAUGGGCGCAAGCCUGAUCCAGCAAUACCGCGUGUGUGAAGAAGGCCUUAGGGUUGUAAAGCACUUUCAAUGGGGAGGAAAACCUACCGGUCAAUACCCGGUAGCUUGACAUUACCUGUAGAAGAAGCACCGGCUAACUCCGUGCCAGCAGCCGCGGUAAUACGGAGGGUGCAAGCGUUAAUCGGAAUUACUGGGCGUAAGGUCGUCAUAUGCGGUGGGAAAGCCCCGGGCUUAACCUGGGAACUGCAUUGGAAACUGGCGGACUAGAGUUGAGUAGAGGGGAGUGGAAUUUCAGGUGUAGCGGUGAAAUGCGUAGAUAUCUGAAGGAACACCAGUGGCGAAGGCGACUCCCUGGACUCAAACUGACGCUGAGGUACGAAAGCGUGGGUAGCAAACAGGAUUAGAUACCCUGGUAGUC
Molecule: ribosomal RNA, 450 nt
Filed under: uncultured bacterium
Lineage: Bacteria
Description: partial 16S ribosomal RNA
Rfam family: Bacterial small subunit ribosomal RNA
Source: RNAcentral